CUAGCUAUUGCUGUAGCUGGUACUAGUCUGUACAUAUUUUACAUAGGCUAGUCUAACCAUAGCUCACUGACUUAUAUGCUACUCUUCGUGUGAUAAUCAGGAGGACACUAGUUAUUUUAACGUCCCUAUUGAACGAUUGAAUUAUACGUAAUUUGAGUUAAAUGUGUAGCGUACAAAAUAUUAAAACUUGGUCGAGCUCCGUUAACGUUAGUGCGCUCGUUUGUCGCCGGGUAAGGGCCCAGAACCACGUGGGUUUAUACUUUGGUGACCUAGUAACUGAGUAGUUGCAUACAACUACACGUAAUACCACUAUAACCAUUGCUGGUCUUUCAAUGAUGAUAACUUUGUCCAGUUCUGCUACUGAAUAAUAGUGAACGAUAUUUGUGACUCUGAGAAAGACCUUGGUUUUACCACGAUAAUAUAGUCUGUUAAAUUAGCCUACCGUGGCGCUGGCGUACACUAACUAGUACGCUAGAUACACUAACUAGUUGGCUUGGAUGUUUCCUUUGAACCAAUCAUUGAUUGAAUGCGCGAAAUAUGGUGACCAAAUCGAAGCAUGGCAGAGUUUAAACGCCAAUGUUAAGAGAGAACCUUAAUCUCAAAAGUAGUUUUCUCCCUCUGAAUGCGAAUUUGGCGUGUUUAAAUCUUUUGCAUCCUGUUUGGUGUAGUCUUGUUUCUUAUUCUGUUGCUUCUGUGCUUAAACCAGCCCUUUUGUCUAACUAGUGUUUUGUUCCAGGUAUUUUGAUGGUGUCAUGAAGCUGGCUUUUCUUCUGAAUACUGGUCGGCCAGAGGAUGCUACUGAACUUUGUACUGCGUUGAGGGCAUGUCACAUCAAGUGGUGUCUGGGCUAGGUUCUCAUGUGACCUGAGCCUACCACAGGACUCCUCCCACUCACUGCCCUCAGGUUUGUUGAGGAUUUCAGUGAAGAGAAGAUGAAGUCUCUGAGACUGAUUCACCCAGAGUGGUGACUUCAUCAGGCUGCAUGUCCAUGACCAGACUGGUUGAUGGUUGCAGGGAGAUGGCCUCACCGUUAGCACUGCAGAUUCUUGCCUGCUCCCUAAACAUCAGGUGUCCAGUGUCGUACUUUUCCUUACAUUCUAUUCAACACGAAAGGACUUCACUUAAUUGACAUCAGCUGUAUGGUUUCUCCAGUGUGAAUCAUCUGAUAAAAAGAUUUUCCAUCGAGUGGUUCCUUUUUAAUUUGCUGUUGUAACUUUUACCACUUAUAGUUCUCAUCCCCAAUGCCACUCAUUUAAGCUGGUUCCAUUAAACAUGGCCAUUACUUAAAUUAUAUCCAGAGGUCCCCAGGUCUCAAUUCCAAUUGAGCUCAUUUAGAUUGUGGAGGAACGGGAGGUCUGCAACAAAUGUGUAAAUCUUCAAGAAACUGUGAUUCAUUGUGUUAGCUUGGGCUAAAAUCUAUACACGUUUCCACCUUGUUACUCCUGUUCAUUCAGGUCUAAACUGGUGGAUUUUUAUGCAGGCAUGUUCAGAUUUUUACUUAAUUCCAUUUCGAUUUGUCCAAUUUCCCACUAACCUUCCCUGACAGUGCAGCUGGUGGCAGCAGUAAGGCCUCUCUCCUGUGUGAACUCUCUGAUUUAUGGUUAUGCUUUUAGUUCUGGUAUCAUGCACAGCCUUAAUGUGUCACGGUUGUAUUCUCAUCACCUCUCCCUGGCAACAGGGACCUAAUGGUUCUACUUCACUUGUGAUUUUGAAAGUUCAAUAAAGUUGAGUCAAUUUUCUCAUUUGAUCUUAUUCUGUAAUGAAAUACUAAACGUGUGAAUUAAAAUCUUCCAAUGUC
Long non-coding RNA from Esox lucius (northern pike), 1798 nucleotides. The record is from Ensembl. NCBI's taxonomy places the organism in Eukaryota, Metazoa, Chordata, Actinopteri, Esociformes, Esocidae.